CAAUAGCGUAUAUUAAAGUUGUUGCAGUUAAAAAGCUCGUAGUUGGAUUUCUGGUGGGAGCGAUCGGUCUGGCGCUUAGCGCGAGUACUUGCAUCGUCUCCGGCCAUCCUUGGGGAGAGUCUGUCUGGCAUUAGGUUGUCGGGCAGAGGAUCCUCAUCGUUUACUGUGAAAAAAUUAGAGUGUUCAAAGCAGGCUUAUGCCGUUGAAUAUAUCAGCAUGGAAUAAUAAGAUAGGACUUUGGUACUAUUUUGUUGGUUUGCGCACCAAAGUAAUGAUUAAUAGGGACAGUUGGGGGUAUUCGUAUUCCGUUGUCAGAGGUGAAAUUCUUGGAUUUACGGAAGACGAACUACUGCGAAAGCAUUUACCAAGGAUGCUUUCAUUAA
This 383-nucleotide ribosomal RNA is filed under the name uncultured eukaryote. Its description in RNAcentral is "partial 18S ribosomal RNA". It matches the Rfam family "Eukaryotic small subunit ribosomal RNA", at positions 592 to 976 of the family's 1831-position model. The record is from RNAcentral.